Molecule: long non-coding RNA, 240 nt
Filed under: Lathyrus oleraceus (garden pea)
Lineage: Eukaryota; Viridiplantae; Streptophyta; Magnoliopsida; Fabales; Fabaceae
Description: Pisum sativum (pea) long non-coding RNA (PSAT_LNC007655)
Source: RNAcentral
GGAGGAAUGGAUCAAACACAAAUUGGUCAAAGGAGGACUUUUACCAAAUUAAGAUCAUUCAUUCAUUUUGGGAGAUGGAGUGUACAUUCCGUCAAUCCCCUAAAUCCAAUGAUCUUAACCUAGCAAAGUCAAAUCAACCUUGACCAAGGCCCAACAACACAAGUCAAACUCACAAAGUCAAUUAAAAUAGCUCCACACAAUUAAUUUGGCAUUUAAACAAUUAAAAAUAAUAAAAAUUUG